GUCUGAAGCAAGGCUGGCGGGAUGAGGCAGCCAGGGUCCCUGCAUGCCUUCCCUUCCCCCUACCUCGGUUGGCUGAACUGUGGGCAAGGUCACUCACUACUCCAGCCCUUUGCUCCCCUCUACAGAGAGGGUCGGUGCUGUUGUGCAGAACUGCUGUCUAGAGAGAGCCCAGCGUCAGUACCAUGAGAGUCUGGCUUGCGAGCCUGUUCCUCUGCGCCUUGGUGGCGCACUCUGAAGGUGGCAGUGAACUUGGAGCUUCUGAUGAAUCAAACUGUGGCUGUCAGAACGGAGGAGUAUGUGUGUCCUACAAGUACUUCUCCAGCAUUCGAAGAUGCAGCUGCCCAAAGAAAUUCAAAGGGGAGCACUGUGAGAUAGAUACAU
This 381-nucleotide long non-coding RNA is filed under the name Rattus norvegicus (Norway rat). RNAcentral's name for it is "long non-coding RNA NONRATT010725". Lineage: Eukaryota; Metazoa; Chordata; Mammalia; Rodentia; Muridae. The record is from RNAcentral.